AGAAGCAUUUACGCACAGGUCCUACACUCAGCUGGGGCGGAAACAAUCUGCGGCUGCAGGUUUGCCACCGGCGGCAAAAAAGGGGACACACGCAGCGAAGUUCAAACAAAGUGUCCGUGAGUUUCUGUUGGGAAAGCAUCAAGAUCUGCGGCAAACUGUGCAGGAUUGCCUUCAUCUCCAAAAUCCGGGUUGCAGUCGGUGAUUGGCAGGAGGAGGAGAGUCUGACGGAGGAGCAGAGGAAUGUUGGCAGCCAUUUAGUCUGAGCUCAACAACGGAGAAACAUGGAUUCUUCACAAAAAAAAUGUAAACACAGCAAUGGAGUGAGAUGUGGGACCUCUGAGGAGGAUAAGGAUGGUUCAGCAACAACGGCAAAAAGAGAUGAAUCACUGAGUUGUGAGCAAUGUGACAAGACUUUUAUUACAGCAACAAAGCUAAGAAUUCACAAACAUAUUCACACUGUGGACAAACCAUUCAGCUGUGAUCAGUGUGGAAAGGCUUUUACUCGGAAGAGUCAGUUAAAAAGACAUCAGCUCAUUCACAGUGGAGUGAAAUUGUUCAGUUGUAAUCAGUGUGGUAAGGCUUUUACUCGGAAGACUCGUUUAAAAAGCCAUCAAC
Molecule: long non-coding RNA, 615 nt
Organism: Acanthochromis polyacanthus (spiny chromis)
Lineage: Eukaryota; Metazoa; Chordata; Actinopteri; Pomacentridae
Exons: 3
Source: RefSeq, a predicted model, not a curated record